UAAAUGUCCACCAGCUCGUCUUAUGACUUCAUAUUAUUCAAUUUUGAAAAGAAAGUAACCAUGACGUCAAAACUACUGCUUGUGUUCUUAGUUCUUUGCCUUAUGGGAGGAAUUCUGAUUGAAAAUGUUGAAGGUCAAUGUCGGUGUGGAUUCAGAUGUAACCCUCGGCACGAAUGCUAUAUUCGUAGACGUUGUGGUUGGUUGGGUUGGAGAAGAUGGUGCUGUCACGUGAGCCAUCCUCUAUGCCGUUAACAGAACUCAAGCAAACUGGAAAGGCUGACAAAACUUUGCUAGUUUUGUAACUCAAGAAAUAGUAAAAUAUUUCGAGUUGAA
Mercenaria mercenaria is the source of this 333-nucleotide long non-coding RNA. RefSeq lists it as uncharacterized. The transcript has 3 exons. The record is from RefSeq and is a predicted model, not a curated record. Lineage: Eukaryota; Metazoa; Mollusca; Bivalvia; Venerida; Veneridae.